Molecule: long non-coding RNA, 321 nt
Filed under: Ananas comosus (pineapple)
Lineage: Eukaryota; Viridiplantae; Streptophyta; Magnoliopsida; Poales; Bromeliaceae
Description: long non-coding RNA (ACOM_LNC028294)
Source: RNAcentral
UAGCCAAGCGAGAUUGGUACGAUGUGACACCCCAAUAAUUCCACAUCGGAUGGGAAUGGGUUGUCAUUGGAUUUAUAAGAGACUUAGACACUAGUAAUAAUAACAUGGCUUAAGCAUUUUGGGUUGGUGGUUUGGGCUCAACGAGUUAUUAUUGCUAGUGGGCUGGGUCGUUACAUUUGGUAUCAGAGCCGGUUCACCAGCUGGACAUGUGUGGCGAGUUUCGACUGAGCCAGGGUCUGGAUGACGGGUUAGCGAGACGAGUCUCACAUCGCCAGGUGAUCUUGGGCCGUGUGUGUGAUUGGACUGACGAGGACGUCAGGG